UCAGGGCACAAAAGUAGUACUUUUUUACACGCCAUUGUAGCCUUUUUUAGUGAUAGUGCGCAUGCUAGUGUUUUAUCUCGGACCUACCGCAGGACCUUGUGUUCCUCUGACUCCAGGUGAACCUCGGUUCCCCUGCAUGCCUCGCGGUCCAGGUGUGCCAGGAGGCCCUUCAACGCCAGGCUGGCCUCGACUUCCUUCUGGACCUCGUCUGCCAGGCUCGCCAAGGUUGCCAAUCUUUGGGACAAAUAAGGAGGCAGACCAAAGAGUUCAAACAAAACGUCUUUGCUUGAUACCAAAUCCUAAAAAAGCAGUGCCAGUUUAAAGCAAUAUUUUAAACACCUCUCCCUUUGCUCCAGAUUCUCCAGGUUGGCCCUAGAAGACAAUGAAUACAUCAGAAAACAUGGGGAUGUUAUGCAUUGUACUUUCUUGGGAUCAAAUAAGUGUUUGUAUUUGCAUAACAACAUACAUUAUCUCCUUUGUCUCCAGGGUUGCCUUCAUCGCCUUGCAGACCCUGAAAAAAAAUUCCUGCACAUGAAUAAUACGAUCCAAUCCUUUUUCGGUUAAAUAUCAUGUUAGCGCAUACAUGGAAUUAUCAUUUCACAUCAGGACUUCAUACCUGGUCUCCCUUGGGUCCUCCUUCUCCACGCUCACCCUGUAAUAAACAAGACAAAUGAGCUUCGCUGCAAGCCAUUGUGCUUGUGACUGUUUGUGUGUGCAUUCAUCUACAGCAGAUGGAGCCUGCGCUGAGUAAUAAUCAUCCAAACAAUAGUUUUUGAAUCUCUGAAAGCUGUGGUGAUUUUCUUACCCGCUCUCCUUUGACUCCAGGAGUGCCAGGAGGGCCUGGAAUACCAGGAAGACCAGGAUCACCUUUGGGUCCCUAUACAACAAAACCCCACAGGAACAUUUAGAAGCACCGACUUACUGUUGCCCCGCCAACACCCUGAGGACCUGGACCUCCAUCAAGACCACGAGCCCCCUGCCAGACGACAACAUUUGACAGAGCCCAUCAAGCCUGUGGCUCCACGGAUCCCCUGGCCACCCUGAAACAACAAACAAAGCAAA
Nerophis lumbriciformis (worm pipefish) is the source of this 1062-nucleotide long non-coding RNA. RefSeq lists it as uncharacterized. NCBI's taxonomy places the organism in Eukaryota, Metazoa, Chordata, Actinopteri, Syngnathiformes, Syngnathidae. The record is from RefSeq and is a predicted model, not a curated record.